UUUAUUGGAAGGAAGUUCCACACAGCAGGGUCUGGUAAGUUUCCUUUAAUCCUUUCUUAUGUCUUUAAUUGUGAUUAUAUAUAUGAUUAUAUACAAACCUAUUCACUGUGUGACCUGGUUUUCAUUCAUUCUUCAUAUUUCUAGAUGAAACAUUAACGGUACAUUAUCAUUUUCUACCAGUACCGUUUUAAAUCCUUCAGUCAAACUCCACCAAAUUUUAUGGUUCUGUUGGGGGAUUGUGAGAAAGGUGCGUGAUGUGAGGGACCACUCAUGUGUGUCCAGAUGGACCUGGAAGAGAGUUCACAAUGCGAGACAUGUGACUUUUUUUUUGUUCCCCUGAGCAACAGGGCCACACAGGAGCUGCUGGUGGUAAGAAACAGUAACUUAUGAGUGAGUCCCCAUUUGUAACACAGGACACGAAUUAAUUAAACCCACAAUGAACAAUUUAAACACACUUUUGGAGUUGCAUACUGUAUUAUGAAACUUGAGGCCUUUUAAAACGGUUUUAAACUGUGUGUGCUGUCCUACUGCUGCCACUUGGGGGCGCUGCAUUUAUUAUGCAACGAGUCUAAUAAGCUGCACUGGUAAAGCUGACUGCCCCACAGCUUAAUGCAUGAAUGAAGGCUCUGCACCUGUUCCUUCAGGUUGAAUGCAGCUCUAACACCAUAAUCUGUCUUUCAAGUAUAAGUUAAACGAUCAUUUCAGCAUCCUAUAGCAUUUUCCCAUUGCGUGAUUAUUCUCCUCCAUAGUGACCCAGUCCGGGGAGUCAGUCCUGCAGACACUCUGAGCCCAAAGCACCUGCAGCUCCUGAGGAGUGCAUUCAUGUGUGCAGAGGCCGACGGGCUCGAAGGAAGUGAGAGAAAAGAGAGAAGCAGAGAGCCUGGAAUGAAGCUGGAGGAGUUCAGGGAUGUUCUGAGGUCUGUGAUUGGUCCGGACGUGGAGGACGCUUGGGUUGAGAGAUUCUUCAAUGAGGUGAAGACAAAGUCAAAGUCAGCAUUGCAGCUCAGUGUGAAUAACACUGCUAAUUGCAUUACAGCUAAUUACUCACUGAUCCACGUCACAAUGAUGUCCCUUCUCCACGUCCAGGUGGAUGUGAGCGGCUCCGGGCGGGUGUCAUGGCAGCAGCUGUGUUCCUACCUGCUCCUGGAGUACACUGAGAGAGCCUCCAUCCCCACGCCCGCCGUCCUGGACCCCCGGCCCGGACCCCGCACUGCCCUCACAACAAGGAACUGAGGAACGGGGACAUUUCCACCCACCAGUGCGUGAGAAGAAGAAGGCUCGCAGCGGCGCCAUCAAGGUGCGGAGCCCACUGAACGGCCUAAACCUGCACAAGCUGCGAGCCGGUCACCGACUCGGAGGUCGCCGGCCUGACGUGUCUCCGUGGCAACCGGCUGCUGGCCGUGGGGUGGAGCCAGCGCAUCGUUCAGGAUGACAUCGCAGCUGCAAAGGUAACAUUAAACAGAUCAUGGACAUCCCCCUGUUUGCAUGUGGUGGAUGAUGUCAUAUUUUGUAUAUUCAUUUCAGUACAGUGAGUUGUUGAUUAAUAAUAAUUUAAAACUGGCCUCUUGAAUAUGAUAAAUGUGACUUGUUACUGUUGUCUAGACUCUUCUCAGAGCACAGAGGCUCCACAGACUGCACCAGCGUGCACCCACACGUUUAUACAGCUCUGUACAGGAAGUCAAACCAUAUACACUGUGUCUAUAGAGACUGAGCCAACGUCUGCAUAUUUUAACACUUCACUUCUCAACCUUUGACUCCCAUCUGCUCCGUGGUUAGUUUCAUCAGUACAGCGGCCACAUUCAGGGAUUUGCUCAGUCCAUGUUUCCUCAGAAAACACCGCGAGCGAAGCCCGACCGGCGAAAAGCGGUCGAAUAUCGGUGAAUGACGUCAGCUUCCACUCACGGGGACAGAGAAGAUCCGCAGCGGGACUUUUUCUUUAAACGCUGACCGUGCUGAGGUUCCAGACUUUGAAAGUGUGGCGUCAACAUUUUACCCCCGGGGUGUAAACAAAACCAGCAAAGCCACAAAAGGAGUGGAGCACACCCAAUUACGCUGCUUUGGCCCAUUUAUGCAGCGUCACAGGGUUUAACGAUGGGGAGGUGGUCGUGUGGAGGCUGGAGACCCGGUCCUGCAGCGCCGGGGUUCUGGCGGCGUCGCAGGGCGGACGUGUGACCGCGUGCAGCGUCGGCGUGGAGACGCGCCCGUACGGUGAGGGAGGGACGCAGCGGACGGAGCGGUGGACGAGCAGCCGUCAGCCCGGGCUCGGGUUUGAAGCGGGCGGCGCUGGGCUGAACAGUGGACCGGGCCUGUCGCCGGCACCAUUCCUAUCCACCCGCAGCUAUGUCACUUUCCAGAUCCCAUCUGUGUUUAGUGGUGUUGGACCCAUGCAUGCGACUGCUGUGAAUAUGUAUGAACGUGUGUGUGUGUGUGUGUGUGUGUGUGUGUGUGUGCAGGUUUUAUAUAUGCGUCCAUCAUUUCACAGAGAGACAACACUUGAUCUAUAAGUGAUUUGAGUGCAUGCAGCUGUGUGCAGCUGCUGAGCCCAGGUGGGUUCUACGCCGUGCUGAGCGUGAGCACGGAUCGGUCCAGGAACCACAUCCUGGCUGCAGCGGACCCCGCAGGCGGCCUCCACAUCUGGGACGUCUCCACCUUCGGACUGGACGUCCAGCGCCAGGUGAGCUGCUGGGACGUCGGCGCCGGGUCCAGCGCUUCUCCGGUUCUUCAUGGUCUUCCUCCACACAGCCUCGUCCGCUGGGAGGCUCAUGAGGGAGAGACGGUCAGCGUGGAGGUGACUGAGGUGUGUGACACAGUGUUGGUUCUAACCGGGGACCAACACAGCUGGACUGUGGACGAGACACGGGGACCAUUUGGGUUCCUUCAAACAUGGAGCCACGUGGAACCUGACCGACCUCAUGGUCAUUUGUGACCACUGUGUGUCUUUGGGGAAACUGGAUCGUUUCAUUCCUGAGUCAGGAACAAAGUCCAGUCAAUGUCAACAGCACAGAUCCCAAUGAGUUUAGGCCAAAUCUGAUGGAGUGCGUGCUGUGUGGAGGGCUCACCGUGGCCCAGUGCUGCCUGGAGAACGUUCCCCUGGUGUUUCAGCAGCUGCUGGAGUCUUUAGCAGAAACAGUGCGGUUGGAGGUCAUAAACGCUGGCUUGGCUCAGACCUUUGUUAUGUUAUUUCUGUAUUUCCAGCACAUGUGGAGUGAAACGGGGCCGUAAAGGAAGGAGCUGUCUAGAGUCAUUUACUGCAGGAGGACAAGAAGUAAAAGGCGGCGCAGGCACACGCUCAGAUACAUAAAUACAUGGGACUCGUUACGUUGUGUUUGUGUGGUCCUGUCACCAGCGUGUAUUGACUCAGAGACGAGUGGUGGCGGUGAUGCAAGUGUAACUGCAGUGUUGGGAAAACGUCAGCUCUGCAACUCACCUAUGGCUUCACACUGGAUGAGGAAGUAAAGUUCCUUAAAAUAAGCCGUUUGAGUGUUUACGUUUUCAAAUCAGUUUUGAUUUCCCUCAUUGAUCAGCCUUCAAAUCGAAAAGGCUGAAUUAACAAGAACAAGAUAAAUAGGAAGAUACAAGGUGUGAGGACGAACGGCGAUUAGGUCAGAGGGAACAGGAAGUGACUCAAACAGGAAGUGGCGCACUGACAGUCACACACUCAACAUCACAACAAAGGUUUCAGGACCAACGCUGAACUAGUGUAUUCCCACGAACAGGCGACCUUCAAAGCGUACGAUUCUGUCACCCACAGGAAACGGGACGACGGUGCGGCGGCGAGAACCGGUCCUGACCCGCAGAACGCAGAGGGGGCGGGUCUCAGGGCGACCGGGGGAGGUUCUGACCCGCUGUACACGCGUGGGCGAACAGGAACCUGCCGAGGACGUCCAAGUUAAUUAAACCCCCCUCAUUCAAUCAUGUCCAAUUUCACCACAUCACGAAGAGGAGCGCAGUCGGAGCGUUCUUCGCAUUCUCCUGCUGAGGCCGGUUGGGGAACAUUCAGGUUCUGUUCUGUUCUGCUCCAGGGACACGGGCCAUUUUUUUUUUAAUAAGCGCUCCAAUACUUCUGCGAGACGUUUCCUCCACUUUUCCUCUCCCUGCCGGCGCCGCCACUCGGGACCGGCCAAAAUAAGCCAUUAGCCGUGUUUUCUGUGCGGCCGCACCCGCGCAGACUCACUUUAGCGCGUCUCCGUGUGCGCGGUGACGGGCCGACGCACGCUCGCCCUCACCUCAGUGCUCCGUCUGCACGCGCACCCGCUCCCCCAGUGUCUGUGUGAGCUCCAGAUGUGCCACAUCAGCCGCCGCAGUCACCGCGGAUGUGACCGGCGCUGCCGGUGAUUGUUGCACUGAUUGGAGAAUCCUUUUUAAAUCUGUAAUAAAAUAUAAAGUCAAAUCA
Long non-coding RNA from Betta splendens (Siamese fighting fish), 4393 nucleotides. Lineage: Eukaryota; Metazoa; Chordata; Actinopteri; Anabantiformes; Osphronemidae. The record is from Ensembl.